This 395-nucleotide ribosomal RNA is filed under the name uncultured bacterium. RNAcentral describes it as "partial 16S ribosomal RNA". It matches the Rfam family "Bacterial small subunit ribosomal RNA", at positions 523 to 918 of the family's 1533-position model. The record is from RNAcentral.
AUACGUAGGGUGCAAGCGUUAAUCGGAAUUACUGGGCGUAAAGCGUGCGCAGGCGGUUUUGUAAGACAGAGGUGAAAUCCCCGGGCUCAACCUGGGAACUGCCUUUGGGACUGCAAGGCUAGAGUACGGCAGAGGGGGAUGGAAUUCCGCGUGUAGCAGUGAAAUGCGUAGAUAUGCGGAGGAACACCGAUGGCGAAGGCAAUCCCCUGGGCAUGUACUGACGCUCAUGCACGAAAGCGUGGGGAGCAAACAGGAUUAGAUCCCCUGGUAUUCCACGCCCUAAACGAUGUCAACUGGUUGUUGGGUCUUCAUUGACUCAGUAACGAAGCUAACGCGUGAAGUUGACCGCCUGGGGAGUACGGCCGCAAGGUUUAAACUCAAAGGAAUUGACGGGG